GCCUGGGUGGCUCAAUUGGUUAAGUGUCUGACUUUAGCUCAGAUCAUGAUCUCGUGGUCCGUGAGUUCGAGCCCCACGUCAGGCU
RNAcentral lists this transfer RNA (85 nucleotides) under Felis catus (domestic cat). It matches the Rfam family "tRNA". From Rfam's summary of the family: Transfer RNA (tRNA) molecules are approximately 80 nucleotides in length. Their secondary structure includes four short double-helical elements and three loops (D, anti-codon, and T loops). The record is from Rfam by way of RNAcentral. Lineage: Eukaryota; Metazoa; Chordata; Mammalia; Carnivora; Felidae.